GACGAACGCUGGCGGCGUGCCUAAUACAUGCAAGUAGAACGCUGAAGCGAGGAGCUUGCUCUUCUUGGAUGAGUUGCGAACGGGUGAGUAACGCGUAGGUAACCUGCCUGGUAGCGGGGGAUAACUAUUGGAAACGAUAGCUAAUACCGCAUAAAAUGGAUUAUCGCAUGAUAAUCCAUUGAAAGGUGCAAAUGCAUCACUACCAGAUGGACCUGCGUUGUAUUAGCUAGUUGGUGGGGUAACGGCUCACCAAGGCGACGAUACAUAGCCGACCUGAGAGGGUGAUCGGCCACACUGGGACUGAGACACGGCCCAGACUCCUACGGGAGGCAGCAGUAGGGAAUCUUCGGCAAUGGACGGAAGUCUGACCGAGCAACGCCGCGUGAGGGAAGAAGGGUUUCGGAUCGUAAAGCUCUGUUGUAAGAGAAGAACGAGUGUGAGAGUGGAAAGUUCACACUGUGACGGUAUCUUACCAGAAAGGGACGGCUAACUACGUG
RNAcentral lists this ribosomal RNA (497 nucleotides) under uncultured bacterium. RNAcentral's name for it is "partial 16S ribosomal RNA". It matches the Rfam family "Bacterial small subunit ribosomal RNA", at positions 28 to 507 of the family's 1533-position model. The record is from RNAcentral.